UUUUGAUUAAGAGUUUGAUCCUGGCUCAGGAUGAACGCUGGCGGCGUGCCUAACACAUGCAAGUCGAGCGAUUCAAAUGUUCAACACUGAGUAUUCGGUGGCACUCAUUGAGUAUUGAGUGUUGAACAUUUGAAUAGCGGCGGACGGGUGAGUAACGCGUGGGCAACCUACCCUGUACAGAGGGACAACAACGGGAAACCGUUGCUAAUAC
This 211-nucleotide ribosomal RNA is filed under the name Alkaliphilus peptidifermentans DSM 18978. RNAcentral's name for it is "16S rRNA. Bacterial SSU". It matches the Rfam family "Bacterial small subunit ribosomal RNA", at positions 1 to 169 of the family's 1533-position model. The record is from RNAcentral. Lineage: Bacteria; Bacillati; Bacillota; Clostridia; Peptostreptococcales; Natronincolaceae.